UACGAGGGGGGCGAGCGUUUGUUCGGAAUUAUUGGGCGUAAGGGGUGCGUAGGCGGCCUGACAAGUCUGAUGUGAAAUCCCUGGGCUCAACCCAGGGCCUGCAUCGGAAACUGUCGGGCUUGAGUAUGGGAGAGGUGAGUGGAAUUUCCGGUGUAGCGGUGAAAUGCGUAGAUAUCGGAAGGAACACCUGUGGCGAAAGCGGCUCACUGGACCAUUACUGACGCUGAGGCACGAAAGCUAGGGGAGCAAACAGG
Molecule: ribosomal RNA, 254 nt
Filed under: uncultured bacterium
Lineage: Bacteria
Description: partial 16S ribosomal RNA
Rfam family: Bacterial small subunit ribosomal RNA
Source: RNAcentral